GUGCAGCAGUCGAGAAUUUUUCUCAAUGGGGGAAACCCUGAAGGAGCGACGCCGCGUGGAGGAUGAAGGCUUUCGGGUUGUAAACUCCUGUCAUUUGGGAACAAGUUGCACACGUUAACUGCGUGGGCAUUGAUAGUACCAGAAGAGGAAGGGACGGCUAACUCUGUGCCAGCAGCCGCGGUAAUACAGAGGUCCCAAGCGUUGUUCGGAUUCAUUGGGCGUAAAGGGUGCGUAGGUGGCGCUGUAAGUCGGGUGUGAAAUUUCGAGGCUUAACCUCGAAACUGCAUUCGAUACUGCGGUGCUUGAGGACUGGAGAGGAGACUGGAAUUCAUGGUGUAGCAGUGAAAUGCGUAGAGAUCAUGAGGAAGACCAGUGGCGAAGGCGGGUCUCUGGACAGUUCCUGACACUGAGGCACGAAGGCCAGGGGAGCAAACGGGAUUAGAUACCCGCGUAGU
This 455-nucleotide ribosomal RNA is filed under the name uncultured organism. RNAcentral's name for it is "bacterial SSU rRNA". It matches the Rfam family "Bacterial small subunit ribosomal RNA", at positions 346 to 794 of the family's 1533-position model. The record is from RNAcentral.